UGUAUAUAUAUGAUUAAAUCUAAUAUUUAAAAAGGUAUAAAUAAGUAACUAAUAAUAAACAUGAUAAUAGUAAUAACAACAUUAAAGAAUAACAAUAGAGAAAAGAAAAAAAGAAAAAAAGAUAACUGUAAUAGCCCAAUUUGCCCGGGGCCCAUUCAGAAUAAGCAAAAAAAAUCAAAAAAUAAUUAAAUGUCCACAGUCCAAAUACAUAGGCCCAACAUAGACCAAAUCGUUUUUAACCUAAACACUAGCCUAGCCCAAUAUCCCCAACCCAAUUAGCCUAACACCUAACCCUGGCCCAAAUCAUCUAAGCCCAAAACAAAAUCACAAACAGAAACCUCUGGAAACUAAGCCGCCGCAGCCGCCUCGCAAUGCGCCGCCUUCGGCUUUCCUCUCUACGCGCGCCACGCCACCACCUCCAUACUCCAGUACCUGCAGCAAACAACAAACAAAGCAACAAAAAGACGGACGAAAAGAAGGGCAACAAUGACAACAAAAAUACAGUGAAUAGUAUAGAGAAAAAGAUAAAAUUCUCUGUAAUUUUUGGCUAUAAAAAGCCGAUUUUAAAUCUGUAAUAUAGGUUACGAACACAGAAAAAUCAAUACAAAGAAGAAAGUUUUCAAAAAGCAUAUCAUUUUUAGGUGAUUCUAUUUCUUUUUUUCUGUUCUUCAAAUUUUUUUAUCUACGACUUGAAAGAAAAUAAGAGGGGAAAGUUUACCUUUACGCCGGUGUCGGACUCCUGUUCUCUCCGUCGCAAUCGGAGUUCGAAUGGAAGGACCGAGAGUGACGAAGUGAUCGAACGGUUCGAAAGCUUGGUCAAUUCGUUGAAAACGGCACUGUGAAUAUAGAGCACCUAGGGUUUUCUUUUAAAUUUGUUUUGGAAAUUAAAUGGUAGUUGAUUUAGGGGUUUUAGAAUAGGCUAUAUUGGGCGAAGGAAACGGCACCGUUUAGGGUCUGUUUCAAUGGCUCUAAAACGGUGCCGUAUUAGCACCUGAUCCACGCGGUGACCCGACCCGAGGGAAGGAUCCGCGCCUUUUUGGCUCAAUGGUCUAUUUGUGCUAUAAGUCCCUCUGUAUUUGGAUGUUGUUGCGAUCCAGUUCUCUGUCUUUUUUAAUUUGUACUGUUUAUUUGACUUCGGUUUCAUUUGAGUCAGCAGUAAAACGAUGUCGUUUUCACUACUUGGUUUUGAAUACCUGAAUCUGUGUGUUUAUUUGCUGUGUCGGUCCCUCAUUUUUUUAAUCGAAUAAAAU
Molecule: long non-coding RNA, 1250 nt
Filed under: Gossypium barbadense (sea-island cotton)
Lineage: Eukaryota; Viridiplantae; Streptophyta; Magnoliopsida; Malvales; Malvaceae
Description: long non-coding RNA (GBAR_LNC022627)
Source: RNAcentral